AGGUAACGUCAACACGAAACGAUAUUAACGCUCCGCUUUUCCUCCCUACUGAAAGUGCUUUACAACCCGCAGGCCCUCUUCACACACGCGGCAUUGCUGGAUCAGGCUUGCGCCCAUUGUCCAAUAUUCCCCA
Molecule: ribosomal RNA, 133 nt
Filed under: uncultured bacterium
Lineage: Bacteria
Description: partial 16S ribosomal RNA
Source: RNAcentral